Molecule: ribosomal RNA, 250 nt
Filed under: uncultured bacterium
Lineage: Bacteria
Description: partial 16S ribosomal RNA
Rfam family: Bacterial small subunit ribosomal RNA
Source: RNAcentral
UACGUAGGGUGCAAGCGUUAUCCGGAAUUAUUGGGCGUAAAGAGCUCGUAGGCGGUUUGUCACGUCUGCUGUGAAAACUGGAGGCUCAACCUCCAGCCUGCAGUGGGUACGGGCAGACUAGAGUGCAGUAGGGGAGACUGGAAUUCCUGGUGUAGCGGUGGAAUGCGCAGAUAUCAGGAGGAACACCAAUGGCGAAGGCAGGUCUCUGGGCUGUAACUGACGCUGAGGAGCGAAAGCGUGGGGAGCGAAC